This 511-nucleotide ribosomal RNA is filed under the name uncultured bacterium. RNAcentral describes it as "bacterial SSU rRNA". It matches the Rfam family "Bacterial small subunit ribosomal RNA", at positions 1 to 507 of the family's 1533-position model. The record is from RNAcentral.
AGUACAGACGAGUUUGAUCCUGGCUCAGAUUGAACGCUGGCGGCAUGCUUUACACAUGCAAGUCGAACGGUAACAGGCCUUCGGGUGCUGACGAGUGGCGAACGGGUGAGUAAUGCAUCGGAACAUACCCAGUCGGUGGGGGAUAACGUAGCGAAAGUUACGCUAAUACCGCAUACGUCCUGAGGGAGAAAGCGGGGGAUCGCAAGACCUCGCGCGAUUGGAGUGGCCGAUGUCAGAUUAGCUAGUUGGUGGGGUAAAGGCCCACCAAGGCGACGAUCUGUAGCGGGUCUGAGAGGAUGAUCCGCCACACUGGGACUGAGACACGGCCCAGACUCCUACGGGAGGCAGCAGUGGGGAAUUUUGGACAAUGGGGGAAACCCUGAUCCAGCCAUGCCGCGUGCGGGAAGAAGGCCUUCGGGUUGUAAACCGCUUUCAGCCGGAAAGAAAUCGCACGGACUAAUACUCUGUGUGGAUGACGGUACCGGAAGAAGAAGCACCGGCUAACUACGUG